Molecule: small RNA, 127 nt
Filed under: Yersinia enterocolitica
Lineage: Bacteria; Pseudomonadati; Pseudomonadota; Gammaproteobacteria; Enterobacterales; Yersiniaceae
Description: RtT sRNA
Rfam family: RtT RNA
About the family: This family represents a bacterial cis-regulatory element known as RtT RNA. The exact function of RtT is unknown although it is thought that it may be involved in changing the cellular response in relation to amino acid starvation.
Source: RNAcentral
CAAUAAGUACUUAGGGGAAGGUGAAAACCUUCGACAAGGUUCGAGCCGAGCGUAGCGAGACAGCGACGCGCAGUGUCGACCCGAAGGGGGAGGAACGAAGUGACGAAUAAUCCUUCCCCCACCACCA